UUCCUGGUGGUCCAGUAGCUAGGAUUUGGCUCUUUCAUUGCCAAGGACCUGGGUUCAAUCCCUGGUCAGGGAA
Molecule: transfer RNA, 73 nt
Filed under: Bos taurus (domestic cattle)
Lineage: Eukaryota; Metazoa; Chordata; Mammalia; Artiodactyla; Bovidae
Also listed under: 4 other names
Rfam family: tRNA
About the family: Transfer RNA (tRNA) molecules are approximately 80 nucleotides in length. Their secondary structure includes four short double-helical elements and three loops (D, anti-codon, and T loops). Further hydrogen bonds mediate the characteristic L-shaped molecular structure. tRNAs have two regions of fundamental functional importance: the anti-codon, which is responsible for specific mRNA codon recognition, and the 3' end, to which the tRNAs corresponding amino acid is attached (by aminoacyl-tRNA synthetases). tRNAs cope with the degeneracy of the genetic code in two manners: having more than one tRNA (with a specific anti-codon) for a particular amino acid; and 'wobble' base-pairing, i.e. permitting non-standard base-pairing at the 3rd anti-codon position.
Source: Rfam by way of RNAcentral